Molecule: ribosomal RNA, 857 nt
Filed under: Rhytidhysteron neorufulum
Lineage: Eukaryota; Fungi; Ascomycota; Dothideomycetes; Hysteriales; Hysteriaceae
Description: partial large subunit ribosomal RNA
Rfam family: Eukaryotic large subunit ribosomal RNA
Source: RNAcentral
CCAACAGGGAUUGCCUCAGUAACGGCGAGUGAAGCGGCAACAGCUCAAAUUUGAAAUCUGGCUCCCCUGGGGGCCCGAGUUGUAAUUUGUAGAGGAUGCUUCGGCGUGGGCCCCGGUCUAAGUUCCUUGGAACAGGACGUCACAGAGGGUGAGAAUCCCGUACGUGGCCGUGGGUGCUCGCCAUGUGAAGCUCCUUCGACGAGUCGAGUUGUUUGGGAAUGCAGCUCUAAAUGGGAGGUAAAUUUCUUCUAAAGCUAAAUACUGGCCAGAGACCGAUAGCGCACAAGUAGAGUGAUCGAAAGAUGAAAAGCACUUUGGAAAGAGAGUCAAAAAGUACGUGAAAUUGUUGAAAGGGAAGCGCUUGCAACCAGACCUGCCUGCGGUUGCUCAUCCGGGCUCCUGCCCGGUGCACUCUUCCGCAGUCAGGCCAGCAUCAGCUCUGGCGGUCGGAUAAAGGCGGCGGGAAUGUGGCUCCCCUCGGGGAGUGUUAUAGCCCGCCGUGCAAUGCGGCCAGCCGGGACUGAGGUCCGCGCUUCGGCUAGGAUGCUGGCGUAAUGGUUGUAAGCGGCCCGUCUUGAAACACGGACCAAGGAGUCUAACAUCUGUGCGAGUGUUUGGGUGUCAAGCCCAGGCGCGUAAUGAAAGUGAACGGAGGCGGGAACCUUCGGGUGCACCGUCGACCGAUCCUGAUGUCUUCGGAUGGAUUUGAGUAAGAGCAUAGCUGUUGGGACCCGAAAGAUGGUGAACUAUGCCUGAAUAGGGUGAAGCCAGAGGAAACUCUGGUGGAGGCUCGCAGCGGUUCUGACGUGCAAAUCGAUCGUCAAAUUUGGGCAUAGGGGCGAAAGACUAAUCGAACU